This 303-nucleotide ribosomal RNA is filed under the name uncultured bacterium. Its description in RNAcentral is "bacterial SSU rRNA". It matches the Rfam family "Bacterial small subunit ribosomal RNA", at positions 355 to 656 of the family's 1533-position model. The record is from RNAcentral.
UGAGGAAUAUUGGUCAAUGGUCGGGAGACUGAACCAGCCAAGCCGCGUGAGGGAGGAAGGUACAGAGUAUCGUAAACCUCUUUUGUCAGGGAACAAAGACGGGGACGCGUCCCCGGAUGAGUGUACCUGAAGAAAAAGCAUCGGCUAACUCCGUGCCAGCAGCCGCGGUAAUACGGAGGAUGCGAGCGUUAUCCGGAUUUAUUGGGUUUAAAGGGUGCGCAGGCGGUCUGUUAAGUCAGCGGUCAAAGCCCGGGGCUCAACCCCGGCCCGCCGUUGAAACUGGCAGUCUCGAGUUGGAGAGAA